GGACGAGUAGGAAAGCGGCUGAAUCCACCUCCCUGCUAAGGAGACGUACUGGUAACGGUACCGAGAGUUCGAAUCUCUCCUCGUCCGCCA
RNAcentral lists this transfer RNA (90 nucleotides) under Sulfurimonas sp. RNAcentral describes it as "tRNA-Ser". It matches the Rfam family "tRNA". From Rfam's summary of the family: Transfer RNA (tRNA) molecules are approximately 80 nucleotides in length. Their secondary structure includes four short double-helical elements and three loops (D, anti-codon, and T loops). The record is from RNAcentral. Lineage: Bacteria; Pseudomonadati; Campylobacterota; Epsilonproteobacteria; Campylobacterales; Sulfurimonadaceae. RNAcentral also lists the same sequence under 2 other names.